Molecule: ribosomal RNA, 89 nt
Filed under: Proteus mirabilis
Lineage: Bacteria; Pseudomonadati; Pseudomonadota; Gammaproteobacteria; Enterobacterales; Morganellaceae
Description: partial 23S ribosomal RNA
Rfam family: Bacterial large subunit ribosomal RNA (bases 10-89)
Source: RNAcentral
GGGUUGUGAGGUUAAGCGAAUAAGCGUACACGGUGGAUGCCUAGGCAAUCAGAGGCGAUGAAGGACGUGCUAAUCUGCGAAAAGCGUCG